CGGCACCCGCGGGUGGGGGCCGCCCGCUCUGGCCCGGCGCUCACCUGUAAGCGCUGAGGAGCGCCUUGUUGACCAGGACGUUCAAGUGAGAGGGAAAGAGGCUUCCCUUCUCAUCUGAAUUUCCUGACUUCCAAUGAGAGGAAGAAGUUAAAGCAAGCAGAGACUGCUCCUAUCUACUGUCGCAGGGGUGCCACAGCUAAGUUUGCCAGCUCAAUGAGUGCCAACGCGCCAUGCAUGCGUUCACGC
Vidua chalybeata is the source of this 246-nucleotide long non-coding RNA. RefSeq lists it as uncharacterized. The transcript has 3 exons. The record is from RefSeq and is a predicted model, not a curated record. Lineage: Eukaryota; Metazoa; Chordata; Aves; Passeriformes; Viduidae.